UUCAGAACGGCCACCUUCAUAAGGAGCUGUCAUGGAACUGUGGUGGCUUGCUCAUACAUCCAUCAGCGCAGCUUCCCCUCUGGAGCAAGGUCUGGAGUCCCCAACUCUUUACACCGGAGAGAGAGGGGUAGAGAUAAUCAACCAGCAAACAUUGCAUACAAGACUCCGCUCUUCCAGAAGGUACUGGGUGAGCCACCUCUUCAAUCCCAGCCCAGACUGGACCUUGUUCUCUUUCUAAAUGGAGCAGUUGCCGAAAAAGCAAAAUUGUAUGGUGAAUCCAAAAUAGUCCAAAACUAUGAAGCUGGGCAGUUUGGCUGUGUGGUGGAGCCCAUUAAUUAUAGUGUGUCCUGAUCGUGUUUAUUUGUCUAAACUCUUCUUGGUAUUGCAGAGCUGCACCCCUU
Molecule: long non-coding RNA, 401 nt
Filed under: Mustela putorius furo (domestic ferret)
Lineage: Eukaryota; Metazoa; Chordata; Mammalia; Carnivora; Mustelidae
Description: lncRNA (ENSMPUG00000030369.1)
Source: RNAcentral